UACGUAGGGGGCAAGCGUUGUCCGGAAUCAUUGGGCGUAAAGCGCGCGUAGGCGGCCCGGUAAGUCCGCUGUGAAAGUCAAAGGCUCAACCUUUGAAUGUCAGCGGAUACUGCCGGGCUAGGGUCCGGAAGAGGCGAGUGGAACUCCUGGUGUAGCGGUGGAAUGCGCAGAUAUCAGGAAGAACACCAACGGCGAAGGCAGCUCGCUGGGACGGAACUGACGCUGAGGCGCGAAAGCGUGGGGAGCGAACAGG
RNAcentral lists this ribosomal RNA (253 nucleotides) under uncultured bacterium. Its description in RNAcentral is "partial 16S ribosomal RNA". It matches the Rfam family "Bacterial small subunit ribosomal RNA", at positions 524 to 776 of the family's 1533-position model. The record is from RNAcentral.